UGAGGAAUAUUGCGCAAUGGGCGCAAGCCUGGUCCAGCCAUGCCGCGUGCAGGAUGAAGGCCUUCGGGUUGUAAACUGCUUUUGUACGGAACGAAAAGACUCCUUCUAAUAAAGGGGGUCCAUGACGGUACCGUAAGAAUAAGCACCGGCUAACUACGUGCCAGCAGCCGCGGUAAUACGUAGGGUGCGAGCGUUAAUCGGAAUUACUGGGCGUAAAGCGCGCGCAGGCGGUUAUAUAAGACAGAUGUGAAAUCCCCGGGCUCAACCUGGGAACUGCAUUUGUGACUGUAUAGCUAGAGUACGGCAGAGGGGGAUGGAAUUCCGCGUGUAGCAGUGAAAUGCGUAGAUAUGCGGAGGAACACCGAUGGCGAAGGCAAUCCCCUGGGCCUGUACUGACGCUCAUGCACGAAAGCGUGGGGAGCAAACA
This 427-nucleotide ribosomal RNA is filed under the name uncultured bacterium. RNAcentral describes it as "bacterial SSU rRNA". It matches the Rfam family "Bacterial small subunit ribosomal RNA", at positions 355 to 774 of the family's 1533-position model. The record is from RNAcentral.